RNAcentral lists this ribosomal RNA (497 nucleotides) under uncultured bacterium. RNAcentral describes it as "bacterial SSU rRNA". It matches the Rfam family "Bacterial small subunit ribosomal RNA", at positions 29 to 524 of the family's 1533-position model. The record is from RNAcentral.
AACGAACGCUGGCGGCGUGCCUAACACAUGCAAGUCGUGCGAGAAAGUUCCUUCGGGAGCGAGUAAAGCGGCGCACGGGUGAGUAACACGUAGGUAACCUGCCCCCCAGUCUGGAACAACUAGAGGAAACUCUAGCUAAUGCCGGAUGAGACCACGAUCCCUUCGGGGGUUGCGGCCAAAGAUGGCCUCUACUUGUAAGCUAUCGCUGAGGGAUGGGCCUGCGGGCCAUUAGCUUGUUGGUGAGGUAACGGCUCACCAAGGCUGUGAUGGCUAGCUGGUCUGAGAGGAUGACCAGCCACACUGGGACUGAGACACGGCCCAGACUCCUACGGGAGGCAGCAGUGGGGAAUAUUGCGCAAUGGGCGAAAGCCUGACGCAGCGACGCCGCGUGGGUGAUGAAGGCCUUCGGGUCGUAAAGCUCUUUGCCGGGGACGGAUGAUGACGGUACCCGGACGAAUAAGCCCCGGGCCUAACUUCGUGCCAGCAGCCGCGGUAAU